Molecule: ribosomal RNA, 253 nt
Filed under: uncultured bacterium
Lineage: Bacteria
Description: partial 16S ribosomal RNA
Rfam family: Bacterial small subunit ribosomal RNA
Source: RNAcentral
UACAGAGGGUGCAAGCGUUAAUCGGAAUUACUGGGCGUAAAGCGCAUGUAGGUGGGAAGGAAAGUUUGAUGUGAAAUCCCUAGGCUUAACCUAGGAACUGCGUUGAAUACUAUCUUUCUAGAGUCGGACAGAGGGCCGUGGAAUUUCCGGUGUAGCAGUGAAAUGCGUAGAGAUCGGAAAGAACACCAGUGGCGAAGGCGGCGGCCUGGGUCCAGACUGACACUGAGGUGCGAAAGCGUGGGGAGCAAACAGG